RNAcentral lists this ribosomal RNA (460 nucleotides) under uncultured bacterium. RNAcentral's name for it is "partial 16S ribosomal RNA". It matches the Rfam family "Bacterial small subunit ribosomal RNA", at positions 338 to 795 of the family's 1533-position model. The record is from RNAcentral.
CCUACGGGAGGCAGCAGUGAGGAAUAUUGGUCAAUGGGCGGAAGCCUGAACCAGCCAAGUCGCGUGAGGGAAUAAGGCCCUACGGGUCGUAAACCUCUUUUGCCGGGGAGCAAGGGCCGGGACGAGUCCCGGUCCGGAGCGUACCCGGAGAAAAAGCAUCGGCUAACUCCGUGCCAGCAGCCGCGGUAAAACGGAGGAUGCGAGCGUUAUCCGGAUUUAUUGGGUUUAAAGGGUGCGUGGGCGGGCUUUUAAGUCAGCGGUAAAAAUUCGGGGCUCAACCCCGUCCGGCCGUUGAAACUGGGGGCCUUGAGUGGGCGAGAAGAAGGCGGAAUGCGUGGUGUAGCGGUGAAAUGCAUAGAUAUCACGCAGAACCCCGAUUGCGAAGGCAGCCUUCCGGCGCCCUACUGACGCUGAGGCACGAAAGUGCGGGGAUCGAACAGGAUUAGAUACCCCAGUAGUC